UAGAAUGAAGCUCGCUGGAUAGAGUUUUUAGCUGUUAACUAAAUUUUCGUGGGAUCGAGGCCCGCCAUUCUAG
Molecule: transfer RNA, 73 nt
Filed under: Leptobrachium liui (Chong'an moustache toad)
Lineage: Eukaryota; Metazoa; Chordata; Amphibia; Anura; Megophryidae
Description: tRNA-Asn
Source: RNAcentral